This 433-nucleotide ribosomal RNA is filed under the name uncultured bacterium. RNAcentral's name for it is "partial 16S ribosomal RNA". It matches the Rfam family "Bacterial small subunit ribosomal RNA", at positions 29 to 507 of the family's 1533-position model. The record is from RNAcentral.
AGCGAACGCUGGCGGCAGGCUUAACACAUGCCAGUCGAGCGGGCACUUCGGUGUCAGCGGCAGACGGGUGAGUAACACGUGGGAACGUACCCUUUGGUUCGGAAUAACGCUGGGAAACUAGCGCUAAUACCGGAUACGCCCUUUUGGGGAAAGGCUUGCUGCCGAAGGAUCGGCCCGCGUCUGAUUAGCUGGUUGGUGGGGUAAUGGCCUACCAAGGCGACGAUCAGUAGCUGGUCUGAGAGCAUGAUCAGCCACACUGGGACUGAGACACGGCCCAGACUCCUACGGGAGGCAGCAGUGGGGAAUAUUGGACAAUGGGCGCAAGCCUGAUCCAGCCAUGCCGCGUGAGUGAUGAAGGCCUUAGGGUUGUAAAGCUCUUUUGUCCGGGACGAUAAUGACGGUACCGGAAGAAUAAGCCCCGGCUAACUUCGUG